UGCCUACCCUACCCAAACUCUUAUCUUUAGUUGGAUUUAGAUCACCCACUGACUUUAUGAAUACUUCUGUGUUAUUUUUUUGGCAACGAUAUAGAAAGUUGUUUCCUGCUCAUCCUACCCUCCUCUUAGACACCUUACCUGUUACUCUUGUCAUCUCAUAAACGAACAAGAACGCUAAUAAUACUGUAUGAGUAAUCAUGCUACAACAGUGCUAAUAGAUGCCAACUAUUAUUUCACCUGCGUCACCUAGUAACCUCUAGACAAUUAAGAACUUAAUUAGAAAUGAAGAAAAUUAAAAUAAUGAAGAACCUUGUGGCGCCUUGUUUAAGGCACUUACUGCAUUUAUUGCAGAAGUGUGUUUUCUCCAGAACCUCAUCCAAUUCUGAGUGAGGUUUAAUCAAUCUUAAAGGGAUUCAUAAAGCAAAGAUGUUUCCUACGUAAAGGGAAAAGUUUAAAGAUUAAUAAUUACAUCGUGCACAGCGGAGGGAGAGGAGCAGCCAACAGAAUUGGGUGUUAUGGGGAAUACUCGGCCCAGCCUAACACGUCUCCUCCCCAGAGAGGUUGCCCGUUGCAUCUCUGUGCGAUUCCUUCUUCAGGUGUUCCUCGUGCAGGAACUCAUGCAGAGAGACCAGUGGUGGGUUUUAUUCUCUCUCUCACCUGCGUCACGGUUUAUUUGGCAUGCCGAUUUUUAUUUCAUAACUCAGGAUCAAGGUGCAGCUCUAUAUCCAUAGGAGAGACACCUGCAAAUCGAUGUAAACACAACAGGGAACCUCUUGUAGGCCUAGUGCAGCCCAGAAGGAGUUUUUUUUUUUUUUCUUUUGCGGGGGGUAGAAGGCUUCAUGUUUUGCUAUAACAAAAACAGGAUGGGGAAAUUUUAAGCAUCCAGGGCUGCUGUGGGCAGGGCAACGUUUCAAAGAGGGGGAUUCUUUAAGUUUUCUUUUUUGAGUUU
Molecule: non-coding RNA, 949 nt
Organism: Pseudonaja textilis
Lineage: Eukaryota; Metazoa; Chordata; Lepidosauria; Squamata; Elapidae
Source: RefSeq, a predicted model, not a curated record